Molecule: ribosomal RNA, 248 nt
Filed under: uncultured bacterium
Lineage: Bacteria
Description: partial 16S ribosomal RNA
Rfam family: Bacterial small subunit ribosomal RNA
Source: RNAcentral
UACAGAGGGUGCGAGCGUUAAUCGGAAUUACUGGGCGUAAAGCGUGCGUAGACGGUCAUGUAAGUCGGAUGUGAAAGCCCCGGGCUCAACCUGGGAAUUGCAUUCGAGACUGCAUGGCUUGGGUGCGGAAGAGGGAAGCGGAAUUUCCGGUGUAGCGGUGAAAUGCGUAGAUAUCGGAAGGAACACCAGUGGCGAAAGCGGCUUCCUGGUCCGAACACCGACGUCAGGCACGAAAGCGUGGGGAGCAA